AGUCACUGACAUUAGAUACCCGCGUAGUCCAGGGUGUAAACGCUGCAGACUUGGUGUUGGGAACCCUUCGGGGGUGUCCAGUGCCCGGAGAGAAGUUGUUAAGUCUGCUACUUGGGGAGUACGUCCGCAAGGAUGAAACUUAAAGGAAUUGGCGGGGGAGCACCGCAACGGGAGGAGCGUGCGGUUUAAUUGGAUUCAACACCGGAAAACUCACCAGUGAAGACUGUUACAUGAAAGCCAGGCUGAUGACCUUGCUAGAUUUUCAG
Molecule: ribosomal RNA, 266 nt
Filed under: uncultured archaeon
Lineage: Archaea
Description: partial 16S ribosomal RNA
Rfam family: Archaeal small subunit ribosomal RNA
Source: RNAcentral